This 240-nucleotide unclassified non-coding RNA is filed under the name soil metagenome. RNAcentral describes it as "partial contains 5.8S ribosomal RNA, internal transcribed spacer 2, and large subunit ribosomal RNA". The record is from RNAcentral.
AACAAGGCGUACCUGCGGACCUGCGGAAGGAUCAUUACACAACAAAAUAUGAAGGUCUGGCUUCGCGGCCGGCUGAAGUAUUUUUUUUCACCCAUGUCUUUUGCGCACUUGUUGUUUCCUGGGCGGGUUCGCCCGCCACCAGGACCAAACCAUAAACCUUUUUUUUAUGUAGUUGCAAUCAGCGUCAGUAAAAACAAUGUAAUUAUUACAACUUUUAACAAUGGAUCUCAGAUCGGAAGA